RNAcentral lists this ribosomal RNA (1707 nucleotides) under Escherichia coli. Its description in RNAcentral is "partial 23S ribosomal RNA". The record is from RNAcentral. Lineage: Bacteria; Pseudomonadati; Pseudomonadota; Gammaproteobacteria; Enterobacterales; Enterobacteriaceae.
GAAGGUGUACUGUGAGGUAUGCUGGAGGUAUCAGAAGUGCGAAUGCUGACAUAAGUAACGAUAAAGCGGGUGAAAAGCCCGCUCGCCGGAAGACCAAGGGUUCCUGUCCAACGUUAAUCGGGGCAGGGUGAGUCGACCCCUAAGGCGAGGCCGAAAGGCGUAGUCGAUGGGAAACAGGUUAAUAUUCCUGUACUUGGUGUUACUGCGAAGGGGGGACGGAGAAGGCUAUGUUGGCCGGGCGACGGUUGUCCCGGUUUAAGCGUGUAGGCUGRUUUUCCAGGYAAAUCCGGAAAAUCAAGGCUGAGGCGUGAUGACGAGGCACUACGGUGCUGAAGCAACAAAUGCCCUGCUUCCAGGAAAAGCCUCUAAGCAUCAGGUAACAUCAAAUCGUACCCCAAACCGACACAGGUGGUCAGGUAGAGAAUACCAAGGCGCUUGAGAGAACUCGGGUGAAGGAACUAGGCAAAAUGGUGCCGUAACUUCGGGAGAAGGCACGCUGAUAYGUAGGUGAAGUCCCUYGCGGAUGGAGCUGAAAUCAGUCGAAGAUACCAGCUGGCUGCAACUGUUUAUUAAAAACACAGCACUGUGCAAACACGAAAGUGGACGUAUACGGUGUGACGCCUGCCCGGUGCCGGAAGGUUAAUUGAUGGGGUUAGCGGUAACGCGAAGCUCUUGAUCGAAGCCCCGGUAAACGGCGGCCGUAACUAUAACGGUCCUAAGGUAGCGAAAUUCCUUGUCGGGUAAGUUCCGACCUGCACGAAUGGCGUAAUGAUGGCCAGGCUGUCUCCACCCGAGACUCAGUGAAAUUGAACUCGCUGUGAAGAUGCAGUGUACCCGCGGCAAGACGGAAAGACCCCGUGAACCUUUACUAUAGCUUGACACUGAACAUUGAGCCUUGAUGUGUAGGAUAGGUGGGAGGCUUUGAAGUGUGGACGCCAGUCUGCAUGGAGCCGACCUUGAAAUACCACCCUUUAAUGUUUGAUGUUCUAACGUUGGCCCCURAUCGGGGUUGCGGACAGUGUCUGGUGGGUAGUUUGACUGGGGCGGUCUCCUCCUAAAGAGUAACGGAGGAGCACGAAGGUUGGCUAAUCCUGGUCGGACAUCAGGAGGUUAGUGCAAUGGCAUAAGCCAGCUUGACUGCGAGCGUGACGGCGCGAGCAGGUGCGAAAGCAGGUCAUAGUGAUCCGGUGGUUCUGAAUGGAAGGGCCAUCGCUCAACGGAUAAAAGGUACUCCGGGGAUAACAGGCUGAUACCGCCCAAGAGUUCAUAUCGACGGCGGUGUUUGGCACCUCGAUGUCGGCUCAUCACAUCCUGGGGCUGAAGUAGGUCCCAAGGGUAUGGCUGUUCGCCAUUUAAAGUGGUACGCGAGCUGGGUUUAGAACGUCGUGAGACAGUUCGGUCCCUAUCUGCCGUGGGCGCUGGAGAACUGAGGGGGGCUGCUCCUAGUACGAGAGGACCGGAGUGGACGCAUCACUGGUGUUCGGGUUGUCAUGCCAAUGGCACUGCCCGGUAGCUAAAUGCGGAAGAGAUAAGUGCUGAAAGCAUCUAAGCACGAAACUUGCCCCGAGAUGAGUUCUCCCUGACUCCCUGAGAGUCCUGAAGGAACGUUGAAGACGACGACGUUGAUAGGCCGGGUGUGUAAGCGCAGCGAUGCGUUGAGCUAACCGGUACUAAUGAACCGUGAGGCUUAACCUUACAACGCCGAAG